CAAUAGCGUAUAUUAAAGUUGUUGCGGUUAAAAAGCUCGUAGUUGGAUUUCUGCUGAGGACGACCGGUCCGCCCUCUGGGUGAGUAUCUGGCUUGGCCUUGGCAUCUUCUUGGAGAACGUAGCUGCACUUGACUGUGUGGUGCGGUAUCCAGGACUUUACUUGAGGAAAUUAGAGUGUUUAAAGCAGGCGAUCGCUGUGAAUACAUUAGCAUGGAAUAAUGAGAUAGGACUUUGGUACUAUUUUGUUGGUUUGCGCACCAAGGUAAUGAUUAAUAGGGAUAGUUGGGGGUAUUCAUAUUCAAUUGUCAGAGGUGAAAUUCUUGGAUUUAUGGAAGAUGAACUUAUGCGAAAGCAUUUACCAAGGAUGUUUUCAUUAAUCAAGAACGAAAGUUAGGGGAUCGAAGAC
This 406-nucleotide ribosomal RNA is filed under the name uncultured eukaryote. RNAcentral's name for it is "bacterial SSU rRNA". It matches the Rfam family "Eukaryotic small subunit ribosomal RNA", at positions 592 to 1005 of the family's 1831-position model. The record is from RNAcentral.